UCCCUGGUGAUCUAGUGGUUAGGAUUUAGCACUUUUACUGUUAUAGCCUGGGUUCAAUUCCUGGUCUGGGAA
Molecule: transfer RNA, 72 nt
Filed under: Sus scrofa (pig)
Lineage: Eukaryota; Metazoa; Chordata; Mammalia; Artiodactyla; Suidae
Rfam family: tRNA
About the family: Transfer RNA (tRNA) molecules are approximately 80 nucleotides in length.
Source: Rfam by way of RNAcentral